This 39-nucleotide small RNA is filed under the name Arabidopsis thaliana (thale cress). RNAcentral's name for it is "ATSL012480". Lineage: Eukaryota; Viridiplantae; Streptophyta; Magnoliopsida; Brassicales; Brassicaceae. The record is from RNAcentral.
AAGCAGCUCUUUUGUCGACCGUCCUGCUACCACUGACCA